CUUGGAGGCUUUUUUAUGGUUCGUUCUUAUUACCCUUCUGAAUGUCACGCUGAUUAUUUUGACUUUGAGCGUAUCGAGGCUCUUCAACCUGCUAUUGAGGCUUGUGGCAUUUCUACUCUUUCUCAAUCCCCAAUGCUUGGCUUCCAUAAGCAGAUGGAUAACCGCAUCAAGCUCUUGGAAGAGAUUCUGUCUUUUCGUA
This 199-nucleotide ribosomal RNA is filed under the name uncultured prokaryote. RNAcentral's name for it is "partial 16S ribosomal RNA". The record is from RNAcentral.